UACACGCUACUGAUCCCUGAUGGGAGAAUCAUCACCUCUGCCAACAAAGAAGCCUGGUGGAUGUUUGUUUGCAGUCUGAUGAUGGGACAUCAUGCUGUGCAUCUUCAAAGUUUGUCUCUUGAUUAUUAUUCAUACACAGUAAUGUGAAGCCUGCUCAUAUCUAGUAUAACUGGACCAACCUGGUGCUCUUCAUUUAUGGAGGCUGUUGAGUCUGAAUGUUGGAUGUUGUGUAUCUUGUGUUCUCUGGGCUUUGUUGUCCUCAGUCUUUUUGCAGGAUCAGAAAACAAAACCAGGAGACCUGUAAAUGUUUCUUCUCCAAUUGGAUGAUGAUAAGACUGUGACACGGGAUGCCACCUUUAGUCUUGUGAUGAAGCAAAGCUCAGGAAGAAGUGUGAUUAAAUGGUACCCACAUGUGUGCUGCUGAGAAGGAUGUACAGGGGCACCUGCAGCCAAAUCCAAGCCUCCUCAGCAACUUCAGGUCUGUCAGCGUGCUGAGGUCACAGAAACAAGAAAAGCAGCUUGACUUCAGAGUGUUGUUUACAGUUUUCUGUCAUCAUGAUCUCCCCUGAAUUUAUCACUAUUAUACAAGCAAUGGUGACGGUGUGGAGAGACGGUGGUGUUUCCUCAGAAGAACUAGCAGAGUCACAAAGGGCACGAGUCCUUCUCACCACCUUGACUUGCUGACUGAUGCUCGUCUGCACUGCACAGAGGAAAUCAACUGACCGAGGUAAAUCUCCAGUUUCUGAGUGAGGGAGAGAGGAGUCAUCAUCCAGGUAAAGUGACGUGGUUCAGUGGAUACACUUGUCUCCCCUUUAAAGGAGAUACUCUUAGAGAGAGAUGAUCCGAGUCAUCAUAAAAUAUGGGCAGGAUAUCACUAUUAGACUGUCUAACCUGCCGGAGCAGCACUGAAUGAUCACCACACAUGAGCAUGUUCCUGCAACAUUCAGCAGCUUUGCUUUUGUGUCAAAUGUCAACCAGCUGGAGAGGAAACUACACCAGUGUACUGGGAUGUUUCAGCAACACGUGCCAGAUGCUGUUCCUUCAUGGUGACAUCACCAGAGACAGCCCCGCCCACCUCAGGACCUCGCCAUUGAUCAUGAUGAUUAUAAUAAUGACAGCGAGCGGAACUAAGACUGUAAAAAUCCACGACCAGAAUGUUUAGAUGCUUUCUAAUUAUUAAUGAAUACCGAGAGCCUCUUUCUGUGUUUUGUCUGUUUUGUUUUUUUUUUACCUCAUUUGUUACUAACAAAGUUCACCAAACUCACACAGUUUACAUUCUGUAUGUUUCCAUCUUUACCAGCCACACUCUACCCGCAAUUAAGCAAAUAAUCCUUAGAAAUCGUCGUUUUUCUCUUUUGUAAUUGAUGAUAAUUCAGUGAAGAUACUCUGCUGCUUCCUUUUAUUGCAUCUCACAUUGCUUUAAGUUUUUCAGUGUCCAGUUAUUUUUUUACUGCUGUUUGAAUUCUCUGUAUGUUUGACCCUGUAGACUGUUUAAUGGACUGCUUGUCUUCCUGUUUGUAACCACCGCCUGUUUUUGACUAAAGAUUUGGAUU
Molecule: long non-coding RNA, 1553 nt
Organism: Oreochromis niloticus (Nile tilapia)
Lineage: Eukaryota; Metazoa; Chordata; Actinopteri; Cichliformes; Cichlidae
Exons: 6
Source: RefSeq, a predicted model, not a curated record